GAACGAGAAAGGGGAGCAAUCCCUGAGUACAGUGGCGUACGGGUGAGUAACACGUGGGUAAUCUGCCCUUUGGUGGGGAAUAACCCUGGGAAGCCGGGGCUAAUACCGCAUAAGUCCGAGAGGGGAAAGUCGCAAGACGCCGAAGGAGGAGCCCGCGGCCGAUUAGCUAGUUGGUAGGGUAAAAGCCUACCAAGGCAAAGAUCGGUAGCCGGCCUGAGAGGGCACACGGCCACACUGGCACUGAAACACGGGCCAGACUCCUACGGGAGGCAGCAGUGGGGAAUCUUGCACAAUGGGGGAAACCCUGAUGCAGCGACGCCGCGUGAGCGAUGAAGCCCUUCGGGGUGUAAAGCUCUUUCGGCAGGGAAGAUUAUGACGGUACCUGCAGAAGCAGCUGCGGCUAACUACGUGCCAGCAGCCGCGGUAAUACGUAGGCAGCAAGCGUUGUUCGGAGUUACUGGGCGUAAAGGGUGUGUAGGCGGUUUGGUAAGUCUGGUGUGAAAUCUCCCGGCUCAACUGGGAGGGUGCGCCGGAAACUGCCGGACUCGAGUGCGGGAGAGGAGAGUGGAAUUCCUGGUGUAGCGGUGAAAUGCGUAGAUAUCAGGAGGAACACCGGUGNGUGUAGACGGCUCUCUGGACCGUAACUGACGCUGAAACACGAAAGCGUGGGUAGCAAACAGGAUUAGAUACCCUGGUAGUCCACGCC
This 706-nucleotide ribosomal RNA is filed under the name uncultured bacterium. Its description in RNAcentral is "bacterial SSU rRNA". It matches the Rfam family "Bacterial small subunit ribosomal RNA", at positions 64 to 801 of the family's 1533-position model. The record is from RNAcentral.